GAGAUCAGGGGUCACCAUGAGAAACCACAAGGAGGCAAGAAGAAAAGUGGUAGGAAAAAUUACCACCCACCGUAGGGCGGUACCACUUUGCCACCGGGCGGUGGCGGUGGAAAGUAAAACCCGAAGCUUUUAAAAGCUGGGUGUUUGAUGGGCCGUCGCAACCCACACAAAUUUGAUUGCAUAUAAGAAAUGCAGUAUAGCUAGGGAAUGAAAGUGUUUUCGCAAAGAAAAUUAAAUUUUGCGAUUCAGAAUCAGGUCUAACACGAAGGUUAGGGGGGUUUGAAAGUGUUUUCGCGAAGAAAAUUAAAUUAAAUUAAAACUAGAAAUUAAAUACAACCAAACAUAAUUGAGAACAUCGAAAUAACUGAACAAAACAUGAAGACCGAACAAUAUCUAAAGCAAGUGGAGAAAUUGGAAUUGCAAGAUAAAGAAACCG
Molecule: long non-coding RNA, 436 nt
Filed under: Vigna radiata
Lineage: Eukaryota; Viridiplantae; Streptophyta; Magnoliopsida; Fabales; Fabaceae
Description: long non-coding RNA (VRAD_LNC009864)
Source: RNAcentral